AAUUUUCAGCGAUGGAUGUCUUGGCUCUCGCAUCGAUGA
Molecule: ribosomal RNA, 39 nt
Filed under: Sarcocystis cruzi
Lineage: Eukaryota; Apicomplexa; Conoidasida; Eucoccidiorida; Sarcocystidae
Description: partial 5.8S ribosomal RNA
Source: RNAcentral